AGUAGGAUAGCUGGGUAAAAUGGUGGUUUCAUUCCAAGUUUUCCAAGAAAUCUCUAAACUUCUUUCCAGAUUGGUUGCACCAAUUUUCAGUCUUAUCAGCAAU
RNAcentral lists this microRNA precursor (103 nucleotides) under Marmota monax (woodchuck). Lineage: Eukaryota; Metazoa; Chordata; Mammalia; Rodentia; Sciuridae. The record is from RNAcentral.